CCCCUUUUAUAAGCUCUGAAUGGGCCUUUUGCUCAUGAACCAUUGAGCCUUCAAUAAGGGGUAGAGUAAAAACACUGCUUUUGGGUGAAGUAGCGACUUGUGCAGUUUACUUCAGUCGAUGUUGUGACAAGA
Molecule: small nucleolar RNA, 132 nt
Organism: Nannospalax galili (Upper Galilee mountains blind mole rat)
Lineage: Eukaryota; Metazoa; Chordata; Mammalia; Rodentia; Spalacidae
Source: Ensembl